ACGCCAAAGGACUUCAUUUCCCAGGAUGCACCUGCACCCACUCAUCUGCCUUCAGGUGCGACCGCUUUACCUAUGGGCUUGACGGGAAGAUUCAAAAUCGCGAACCGUUACUGCAUGGAGUUGGUCUCUUUGUUUGCUCAUCGACAUUACGAGAAAUAUAAUGAAGUAACAGUGGGGGCAAAACAUCAGACUGAUCCAGACACUGAAUAAAUUGAUGUCACUGCAAUCUGGCCAAAAUGAUACAACUAUAUUGAAGUAGCCUACUGUAAUGAAGCUGCAGAACAACACAGAGACUCUGAGGACAUCAACACAGAAAAUGAAGGCUCCAAAGAGAUGUCUGUCCAGAUGAGGGUGCAUCAACUUUACCUUUGCUGACAACAGUUAACUUAACUCAAACCAUUUAAGGAAAUCGGUUGCCUUAAACCAUUAAGUUUUAAAAAACAUACAUUUGAGUACUGUGAACUUAAGUCUUGUGCAAUUAUGCACUUAUAUUUAGGUAGUGUGAACUUAAAUAUAAGUGCAUAACUGCAUGUGACUCAAUUUUUUUAAGUUCACAGUACUCAAAUCUAUGUGUUUUAAAACUUGAAUGGUUUUAAAUGUGAGAAAUUACAGUGUUACAGUGAGAAAUGUUUGAAUAAUUCCAAGACAGAGCUCUGCUAUUGAAUCUACACUGCAAAAAAUCACUUUCUAACUUAGGAUUUUUAUCUUGUUUUCAGUAGAAAAACUAAAAAUUCUUAAAUCAAGAUGUAUUUUUUUGAUGAGCAAAAUUACCUAAGAAAAUAUGUGUAGUUUUUAGACAAAAAUAUACAAUUUAAGUAAAUUUGUGCCUAAACAAGCAAAAAUAUCUUAACAAUGGAUUGAGAAAAUUGUGCUUAAAUUAAGUUUUUAUGAAAAAAGAAAACGUAAGAUUUUUUUCUCACACCAUUGGCAGAUAUUUUUGCUUGUUUUAAGCACAAAUUCACUUAAUGUGUGUGUGUGUUUAUUUAUUUUGUCUAAAACUAGACUUAUUUUCUUAGGUCAUUUUGUUCAUCAAGAAAAAGCAUUUUAAUUUAAAUAAUAUUUCUACUAAAAACAAGAAAAUAAUACUAUGUAAGAGAGUAAUUUUUUUGCAGUGUAGGACUGAUUUCUUAAAGCAAGAUCAAUAUAGUUGUUGUUUAUUUUAUUUAGAUAUUUACUACAUUACAGUGGCAGCUGGUGACUUGUUUUUUGUGAGCACUCGAUGCGAAGUUUGUCACAACAUGUAUAUAGCCCGUCAUUUGUGUGGUUCCCAAUUUCAAAAUAUGUGUUCUGCGUGUCGAGUGCGUGUAUGUGCAUCACGUGUUUUGACUAAACACGUGAUGCACAUGGUUUACAUGAAGCAACAAACACAUUUUAAAAACACAAGCAACACACAUGACACUCCGAACACUUAUUUUGAAUUUGCAACCGCCACUGCUACAUUACAUUGUACUUUUUUGAAUUUAGUUUUCAUUGUUGCUUUUAUUUUGUUUUAUUUUACUCUAAUAUUGCUUUCUCUGUCUGUAUAUUUAUAAGUUUAAAUAGUAUUGUUUAUGUAUGCAACUUCUAAUAUUUAUGUGUAAUAUUAUUUUGUGAUUGUGACAAUUGUGGAUUGUUCAGUUUUUUUAUUAAAUAAACAUUUCAAACUCAAUUCAAGUUUUUAUUUUUUUAAGGUUUUUGGGGGUGUAUAGUAGGAUAUAGUGGGGGGGGGAUUGUAGUCCAUCUGCAUAGCAGGCAAAUAACCAAUCAAGUCACUAAACUAUGAGGGCUUGGGUUGGGCUAAAUACAAAGUGUAACCAAUCAAAUCAUCUCAACUGGAAAGUUUCAAA
Molecule: long non-coding RNA, 1826 nt
Organism: Paramisgurnus dabryanus
Lineage: Eukaryota; Metazoa; Chordata; Actinopteri; Cypriniformes; Cobitidae
Source: RefSeq, a predicted model, not a curated record